AGUGUGAUGUAGUGGUUUGGUUGUUGGACUGUGACUCUGGAGACCAGGGUUCGAAUCCCAGCUGAACUA
Phrynosoma platyrhinos (Desert horned lizard) is the source of this 69-nucleotide non-coding RNA. The record is from the annotation of a GenBank genome assembly. NCBI's taxonomy places the organism in Eukaryota, Metazoa, Chordata, Lepidosauria, Squamata, Phrynosomatidae.